UCAGGGGUCGUCCAACGGCAGGACACCAGACUUUGGAUCUGGGAAUGGAGGUUCAAAUCCUCCCCCCUGAGCCA
RNAcentral lists this transfer RNA (74 nucleotides) under Deltaproteobacteria bacterium. RNAcentral's name for it is "tRNA-Gln". It matches the Rfam family "tRNA". Rfam says of the family: Transfer RNA (tRNA) molecules are approximately 80 nucleotides in length. Their secondary structure includes four short double-helical elements and three loops (D, anti-codon, and T loops). The record is from RNAcentral. Lineage: Bacteria; Pseudomonadati; Myxococcota; Myxococcia.